RNAcentral lists this ribosomal RNA (733 nucleotides) under uncultured bacterium. RNAcentral's name for it is "bacterial SSU rRNA". It matches the Rfam family "Bacterial small subunit ribosomal RNA", at positions 1 to 693 of the family's 1533-position model. The record is from RNAcentral.
GACCUUUAUCGUCUCGCGAUGCUACCAAAUGAUUAAAUGAUCAUGGCUCAGAUUGGCCGCUGGCNUAAAGGCCUAACACAUGCAAGUCGAGCGGAUGAUGGGAGCUUGCUCCCGGAUUCAGCGGCGGACGGGUGAGUAAUGCCUAGGAAUCUGCCUGGUAGUGGGGGACAACGUUUCGAAAGGAACGCUAAUACCGCAUACGUCCUACGGGAGAAAGCAGUGGGACCUUCGGGCCUUGCGCUAUCAGAUGAGCCUAGGUCGGAUUAGCUAGUUGGUGGGGUAAAGGCCUACCAAGGCGACGAUCCGUAACUGGUCUGAGAGGAUGAUCAGUCACACUGGAACUGAGACACGGUCCAGACUCCUACGGGAGGCAGCAGUGGGGAAUAUUGGACAAUGGGCGAAAGCCUGAUCCAGCCAUGCCGCGUGUGUGAAGAAGGUCUUCGGAUUGUAAAGCACUUUAAGUUGGGAGGAAGGGCAGUAAGUUAAUACCUUGCUGUUUUGACGUUACCAACAGAAUAAGCACCGGCUAACUUCGUGCCAGCAGCCGCGGUAAUACGAAGGGUGCAAGCGUUAAUCGGAAUUACUUGGGCGUAAAGCGCGCGUAGGUGGUNNAGGUAAAGAUGGAUGUGCAAAUCCCCCGGGCUCAACCUGGGAAACUGCAUUCAUUAACUGCUUGAACUAGAGUACNGACACGGGUGGGUGGAAUUUCCUGUGUUAACGGGNAAAUGCGUUA